ACAUGUGUCUAAUUGCUACUAAAAACACUCUGUCUUAUCGGGGGUUGAAUUGAUUUUUUUUUAUGGGAGGCAUGACUUGGCAGUUUUUUUAAUUUCUAAAAAAAAACCUCUCAAAUAAAACUGUCUCAGAUCUCUUUCUAUAUUAACGAAAUUGAUUAUCUUUUUGAUUCAGAAAUUCAAUCUGAUAGUAAUAAAAUCCUUGAUAGAAAUAGAUUUCCUCCUUCAAUCGACCAUUUCAAUAACAUUAAAUUAACUCUCUGCUAACAUGGGAUUGAAAUGGAAAGUCUUUGAAAAGUAUUCCGAUCUAACACCUAAUAAGAAGAAGACAAGUAUAUGGCAUAGAGUGAAAAGGAUGCUGGCAGAAGUUAAUUUAAGCGUCGAUCGGUUUCUGAAAGGUGUCCUCUGCUAGAGGUAUGAGUUUAUGUUUGAAGAGAACCAGAUCAUAAAGAAUCAGGUUACUUAAUUGAUCUUUGUUAUUCAAACUUUAAUUCCUCUCAGGUACUUUUAUUAUGCCCCUAUUAAUUCUUAAAAUUUCAAUUAGUUUAUGUAUAUGCGAUGAAUGAGUGAAUUAAUACUAUUGUUGCACUGUUAAACUUUCUUCUGCAUUAUUUAACUGAUAUCAAAUUUGCCUGAUUAAUUGCCUGAUAUCCAAUUGUGUAUUUAUACUUGGAUUUAAUAUUGUCAGGGGACCAUUUAGAUUACUCUCAAGUUGCUCUUCUUCUUGCACAAAGAUGAGAGGCUUUCCUAGCUUACAUGAGGUUUUCAACGUCUAUCAUCACUCCUGGGUCAUUGUAGUGCAUUUCUUUUUGAAUCGAUCUCCUAAAAUCUGUGCUUACACCAUAACGUUAGAUAGGCAGGUUCCUCUACUAGCUCUUAGAUGGAAAGCAGAACAAAUAAAGGAUCUAAUUACUUAUGACAGGAUUCAUGAACGGAAUUGAAUUCAGACUUCUAGUAUUAGGCAACAAAUAUUUUCAUGAAUUGGAUUUUAUUUCUAGGUGCUUUUGGUAUUGUCAUUAUUUUAAAUUACAUUAUUACAUGGAUGUUUUGCCAUGUUAAUUAUAUAUUCGGAUUAUUGAAUCAAUUAAUAAAUAUAUUAGUUCUUUCUUUUUGUUCA
Long non-coding RNA from Mercurialis annua (annual mercury), 1114 nucleotides. RefSeq lists it as uncharacterized. The record is from RefSeq and is a predicted model, not a curated record. Lineage: Eukaryota; Viridiplantae; Streptophyta; Magnoliopsida; Malpighiales; Euphorbiaceae. The transcript has 5 exons.